This 161-nucleotide ribosomal RNA is filed under the name Trametes sanguinea. Its description in RNAcentral is "5.8S ribosomal RNA". The stretch from base 1 to 133 matches the Rfam family "5.8S ribosomal RNA", at positions 22 to 154 of the family's 154-position model. From Rfam's summary of the family: 5.8S ribosomal RNA (5.8S rRNA) is a component of the large subunit of the eukaryotic ribosome. It is transcribed by RNA polymerase I as part of the 45S precursor that also contains 18S and 28S rRNA. Functionally, it is thought that 5.8S rRNA may be involved in ribosome translocation. Lineage: Eukaryota; Fungi; Basidiomycota; Agaricomycetes; Polyporales; Polyporaceae. The record is from RNAcentral.
UGGCUCUCGCAUCGAUGAAGAACGCAGCGAAAUGCGAUAAGUAAUGUGAAUUGCAGAAUUCAGUGAAUCAUCGAAUCUUUGAACGCACCUUGCGCUCCUUGGUAUUCCGAGGAGCAUGCCUGUUUGAGUGUCAUGAAUUCUCAACCCACACGUCCUUGUGA